RNAcentral lists this ribosomal RNA (497 nucleotides) under uncultured bacterium. RNAcentral describes it as "partial 16S ribosomal RNA". It matches the Rfam family "Bacterial small subunit ribosomal RNA", at positions 28 to 507 of the family's 1533-position model. The record is from RNAcentral.
GACGAACGCUGGCGGCGUGCCUAAUACAUGCAAGAUGAGCGCUGAAGGUUGGUACUUGUACCAACUGGAUGAGCAGCGAACGGGUGAGUAACGCGUGGGGAAUCUGCCUUUGAGCGGGGGUCAACAUUUGGAAACGAAUGCUAAUACCGCAUAAAAACUUUAAACACAAGUUUUAAGUUUGAAAGAUGCAAUUGCAUCACUCAAAGAUGAUCCCGCGUUGUAUUAGCUAGUUGGUGAGGUAAAGGCUCACCAAGGCGAUGAUACAUAGCCGACCUGAGAGGGUGAUCGGCCACAUUGGGACUGAGACACGGCCCAAACUCCUACGGGAGGCAGCAGUAGGGAGUCUUCGGCAAUGGACGAAAGUCUGACCGAGCAACGCCGCGUGAGUGAAGAAGGUUUUCGGAUCGUAAAACUCUGUUGGUAGAGAAGAACGUUGGUGAGAGUGGAAAGCUCAUCAAGUGACGGUAACUACCCAGAAAGGGACGGCUAACUACGUG